GUGUCAGCAGCCGCGGUAAUACGUAGGAGGCGAGCGUUGUCCGGAUUUAUUGGGCGUAAAGAGCGCGCAGGCGGCACAUCAAGUACGCAGUGAAAUCUCCCUGCUCAACGGGGAGAGUGCAGCGUAAACUGGUGAGCUAGAGGACGGUAGAGGGGGGUAGAAUUGCUGGUGUAGCGGUGAAAUGCGUAGAGAUCAGCAGGAAUACCCGUGGCGAAGGCGGCCCCCUGGGCCGAACCUGACGCUGAGGCGCGAAGGCUAGGGGAGCGAACGGGAUUAGAAACCCCUGUAGUCC
This 292-nucleotide ribosomal RNA is filed under the name uncultured bacterium. RNAcentral's name for it is "partial 16S ribosomal RNA". It matches the Rfam family "Bacterial small subunit ribosomal RNA", at positions 505 to 796 of the family's 1533-position model. The record is from RNAcentral.